This 242-nucleotide non-coding RNA is filed under the name Pan troglodytes (chimpanzee). Lineage: Eukaryota; Metazoa; Chordata; Mammalia; Primates; Hominidae. The record is from RNAcentral.
AACAGAGGCAAAGAUAUACAAACCAAAAGCGGAAGAACUACUUCUCCUCUGGAUGUCUGGGAGUAACCAGGUAGGUCAACUCAAGCCAGAUGACAAGUAGAGAGAGGUGACAAGAGGUGUGUUGGACAGCUCGGAGAGGACUGAAGCAUCCAACCUCCUUCCAAAGCUACCUGUACUGAUGCAGCCAUACACUUGCCCUUGGGCAAGAGAAGUUCAUUACAGCCUGCUCCACAAAAAGGGGA